This 119-nucleotide ribosomal RNA is filed under the name Helianthus annuus (common sunflower). Lineage: Eukaryota; Viridiplantae; Streptophyta; Magnoliopsida; Asterales; Asteraceae. The record is from RNAcentral.
GGUUGCGAUCAUACCAGCACUAAUGCACCGGAUCCCAUCAGAACUCCGCAGUUAAGCGUGCUUGGGCGAGAGUAUUACUAGGAUGGGUGGCCCCCUGGGAAGUCCUCGUGUUGCAACCC